This 73-nucleotide transfer RNA is filed under the name Planctomycetota bacterium. RNAcentral describes it as "Planctomycetes bacterium (hydrothermal vent metagenome) tRNA-Lys". It matches the Rfam family "tRNA". Rfam says of the family: Transfer RNA (tRNA) molecules are approximately 80 nucleotides in length. Their secondary structure includes four short double-helical elements and three loops (D, anti-codon, and T loops). Lineage: Bacteria; Pseudomonadati; Planctomycetota. The record is from RNAcentral.
GAGGGCGUAGCUCAGAUGGUAGAGCAACGGACUUUUAAUCCGUAGGUCGUGGGUUCGAGUCCCGCCGCCCUCA